Non-coding RNA from Peromyscus maniculatus bairdii (prairie deer mouse), 4294 nucleotides. Lineage: Eukaryota; Metazoa; Chordata; Mammalia; Rodentia; Cricetidae. The record is from RefSeq and is a predicted model, not a curated record.
CAUGAAAGUUGGAUCAAUGGCUGUGGAGCCUACAUGGGACUGGACUAGGCCCUCUGCAUGAAUCGAAGGUCCUGGUUUUCCCUCUACAAUAAGCUGAAGAUGUGAGGAUAAUCAUCUGGCGCUUGCCUCCUGAGAGAGGAGGGAUGGCUGGAGUAACUGAUGUCCUGCAAGUGUCAGGAGGCCGAGGGCAGAUGCAGAGAAGGUUUUAGCUUAAUUAGCCGCAGCAAGUGCUCUGCAGAGGGCCCAACUGGGGUCUCAUCUGCCUGGCUCUGGGGAUGUUUCUCGGGGUCACCCUCUGUCAUCUGACAUGAGUGGGUGGUCUGUGAUGUCCUCAAAAUGCAAAUGCUAAGACACCCCCAACAAGAACGGAAGGCUGUGGCCACCAUUUCAGCUCUGUGGGAUUCACAGGUGGAGGCAAAGAACUGAACCAACCAUAGCAGGUCCAAAGAGCAGAUCUGCCCGGAGCAGGCUCAAAGCAGAGAGCGCCUUUAGCUCUCUGUGAUAAGGCCCUGUGAUGGCUGCUGAGAGGAUCCAGAUGAGGCACACAGCAAAGAAGACAGUUUGCUACGGAGCAAAGUACAUUCUCCACACGAAAGGGCAGACAAUAGCCAACAAGAUCGCCGUCUCAUCUACACUCUUAGCAGGCUGUAUAUUAUUUUCUGAAAUCUCUGGAACAGAGCUUUUACCUGUUCCAGGCUGGCUCAGCUUAGAAGACAUGUUACACAUAAGCCACCAGUGUUAAAAGGGGCUUUGUGAUCCGUACAGGGCUGUCCCCCCAGGUCUUGGCAUUGUUCUACACGGAUGAGGAGUGACAAUCUCAUCAAACUGCUGAGAACAGAGUGGCAGUGUAAUCCACCCCGGUUUGAAAUCAUUUCCUGGUGUCACCCUCCUCUGGUAAUACGUGGUGACUGGGUUUUCAUCACUGGGAUGAAGCACUUGAGAAGAUGAUGUAGGUGAAGAAUGGCUUGUUUGGACGCCACCAUUUCAGAGGGCUCAGUCUGGUGCCAUCUAGAUCCCUUGCUAUGGGCCUGACCCAAGACAGAAUGUCCCAGUGGAAAGGUGUGGCUGAGCAAACUGCUCACCUUAAGGAGGCCAGGGUACAGAAAGGGAGUGCCUGUGGUAUCAGAGGACUUUCUCCUUCAUCCACCUUUAUGCCAUCUAGGCCCCACCCAAACUGUAGAGCAGUGCUGCCCAUAUUCAGAGAACCCUCACAGACCACCCAGAAAUGUGUUAUUAGUCACCUGAGCCCUCUUAAUGCAAUCAAGUUGAUAAUCAGUGUUACCCAUCACAGAUCUGAAGAGAAGCCUUAGUCAGUAAAACGCAUAUACAGAGACCCUUACAUAUAUAGAGACCAGAACCCUGGAUCUCACAUAAAAUCCAAACAUGGUGUCAUGUGCUUCUGAAACCAGCCCUGAAGAGUAGAGAGAUGGGCAGAUCCACGGGGCUCACUGGCCAGCUUAGUAGGCAGGUUCCAGGUCAGUGGGAGACCCUGCCUCAAAACAACAAUAAGAUGGACAAUGCCCAGGUAUGACAGCCUAUGUUGCUCAUGUGCACACUUGCAUACACGCACACACACAUACACACACACAUACACACAGUGAGUGAGAGAGACACACAGAGAGAGAUAUGCAGAUGCCUACAUGUUCUUCUUAAGUUAGCCUGAACCAACCUAAGCUGAGUCAAACUAGAAUCAGCUGAGUUGAGGUGAGUUGAGCCAAGCCAGGUUGGGGCAGAUGUCUCUCAGGACUGAAAUACUUGGAUAAGUGUGGGCUUAUAGCCAGUGGAUUUGGAGAUGGGCAAAGGGUACAAGGUCAAGGACCAUGAGAUGCUGCCUGAUGCAUCAGGCAAAAGCAAGAACCUGGGAAUCAGACAAGCUGUUUCUCCCCGCUUCACUUUGCAGCAACUGUGUAACCCAGGGCAAGUCACUUCACCUCCAAGGGACUCGGUGCCUGGCCUGUGAAGAAAGGGCAGCGUGAGCAAGUCUGCUCUGCCAUACGGCAGGAUCCACCGGCCCUCCCCAAACACAGAAGGACGCAGGAGUCACUGCAUCUUGCAGAUGAGCAGACUGGGGCUGCUGCACCAAGGACUGAGAAGCAGGUCUGUCUGUCAUGGUGCUGGGGCAAGCAUUUCCCGUCCUGGUAGAAGAGGAACCUACUGGCAUCUGGCAGGAGGCUUUACAGGAUCAAGAUGAAGCCCAGGCCAUGACUGUGAUGGAGCUUCUGAGAUUAAGUUACCUGAAGUAGGAAGACCCGCGCUGAAUGAAGCUCCAUCCCGUGCGCUGGGAUCCAGGGCAGAAUAGACAGGAGAAACCUCAAAGGGGAGGGAGACACACCAGCAGUGGAUCCAAGUUUUGUCUCCAUGCAAGUAUUGUUCCACCCUCUCCCUACUGUUCCCUCUUUCAGGCAAGAAAACUGAGGCCAUUUUCCCAGGGUCAUCACUAACAGGCUAGAAUACCUGCUCAGGCUCACUGCCUCUGAAGCCCAAAUUGUCAUCAACACAAUGCCAACUGUUGGUAACAUGAAUUUGUUCCAUGUGUUCGGUAAGCAUGAGUACCAGAACGUGAGGCAGCCCUUAGCAAUUUGCCCAGUCAUAAGGUACACCCAUGGGAGGACCUGCCGUAUGCCAGAGGGAGGGAGCUCCGCAGGCCACAUCCCACACCCCUCACUAUCAUUCUCCAUCACCCAUGUCAGCACUGAUUGCAUCAUGCUCUCUCUCUGUGCCCAGACAGAGUCUCAAGGUCUUUCUGAGCACUCCGAUAGGAAGUCACUAGCAAAGCAGAAGUGAUGUAGGAGGUUUGACAGGAUGCGCUAUACAUGGACACUUAAAGAGUGGACAGUGCAGAUUGCUUCCCAAGUCUGCGUCCAGUGACGUGACAUUGGUGGGUCAGCAUGGACCAUGGUGGGUGCAUUUAUGCCUCAGAACUGGGUAGAGGCUGCCCAGCAGAGCCUUUGCCACAGAGAGCUAUCUCAGCAGCACACUGCUGCCCACACCUCUCCUGAUCCCAACCUGACAUUUUACAACCUCGGGGAUCAGCUUUAGUAGCCCUCAUUUUACAAUGUGGAUCAUGUCUGGCCAAGGUCAGGCAGUAGCCAGAGCAGAGCUGGGAGAUGAGCUCCAACCUCCUCUCUGUGAAGAGUAACAGAGAGUGGGAAGAGCUCACAAAGCCCUCUGCAAAUACAAGAGAUUAUUAUUCCUGUCACCGCCAUGACUGCCAGGGAGACAGAGCCAAUGAUUCUGAACUGCUGCAGUCCAGCUGGCUCCGGGGCUAGCAAUUUCAAAGCUACCCACAGUGGAAUCCCCAGGUCUAGCUCCUUUCUCUUCAGCUAAGAGCCCUUAUAAUGCAGUCCCCUAGCAGCACCCACACAUCACUGUCUCAGACUGCCCUGGACUGACAGGCUUUCUUCCAGAGCAGCAGAAUCUGCUCUAAGGGGCUCGGAUGUGCUUUUAUAAGACCACAAUUUCCUUUUCUCCUAACACAAUUUUAAUUAACCAUUUGAGAAUUUCAUACAAUUUAUUUUUAUUAUAUUCAUCACUCUCUCCCAACUCCCCCCAUCAGAUCUACCCUCCCCCAUUCCCUACCCACCCAACUGUGUUCAUUGUGUGCAGCCCAUAUACUCUUGGGUGGGUGGCCAUCUACUGGAGCAUGGUCAACCUACCAGGGGCCACAUUCUUAAAACUGACUCACCCUCUCCCAGAAGCUGUGAACUAUUACUACCUAUUUGUAUGUCCAGGAUGACACGCACUGCAUUCUAAAUACUUAUCCCACUGGUAAAACAUUCCCUCCUCAUCAAAGAAGAGUCUCUCCCCAGCAGAGACCCUUACAGAAAGCCACAGCUAACCAAAAUACAGAGAACUAAUGGUGGGUGCCCAGCCACAAGUGAUACAUCUACUACCACCCUUACAGCUAAGGUUCAGGGAGCAUUGAGAAAGAAAUGGUGGAAAGAUUAUUAAGAGCAAGAGGAUCAGAAUGUCUGCUGCAAUAUUGCAUCUUCUAGAAGUGACAGGGGAGUUACAUCCAUGAAAUCUCAACAAUAUGGCUGCUUAAACAAUGCCUGAGCAAUGGUGUUAGUUGGCAUGCAACAUGGAUGUGGGAAGAGCUACCAGAAACCAAAAACUGCUGAGAGAGAUGGCGAAAGAGAAGAAGAACUAGUCUUCACUGGAAAAGAGCACCCUAAAUAACUAUCCAAUGCAAGUGGUCAGCCCUAAAAUGUAUACACACAAACAACAUUAAAUGGACUCAGCAGGUAGCAUUGAAUAUUUAUUUGCAUAUAUAUGUGUGUGCAUGUAACAAUGA